CUUCCUGCUUCGAUGAAGGGAAUGACAAACAUGCAGAAGACGACGUUUGUAAAAGCUGAAAAACACAUUGUUCUCUAUGGAAAGAUGUGACGUCAUGAACUUCUGAGGGACCGUCUACAAACUACAUGAUACUUUAAUGACAACCUUCUUUUCAGCUGAAAAUCUCUCCUUGCCUUGAUUUAAAACGUUACACAAUUUAUUUUUAGACCUGAACAAGGAACAAAGAAAAUUCGUUCUGCACUGCCACUGUCCAUGGAGCUGAAAUGUACAUCUACAAUGUAUGACAGCGGUACUGACUUCAACUAGUCUACUGUUUGUUUGUUUGUUUGUUUGUUUGUACAAUGUAUUUGGUUAAUAGGUAAUAGGUUUUUAAUUUUUCUUGUUUUUCCACUUGUUUUUUGUUUGCAUUACAUGUGAUAUAGAGUUGUGAUCAUUAAAAUGAGGUAUGUAACAGUGUUCUCUAAUUAAAGAUUGAACAAACUUAAUACACUGUCUAUCUUUUAUGUUUACCUGUCAUAUACCACUUUAAUGUAACAUUAAACUCUCACAACAUCAUGAUAUA
Molecule: long non-coding RNA, 562 nt
Organism: Megalobrama amblycephala (Wuchang bream)
Lineage: Eukaryota; Metazoa; Chordata; Actinopteri; Cypriniformes; Xenocyprididae
Exons: 2
Source: RefSeq, a predicted model, not a curated record